RNAcentral lists this long non-coding RNA (24880 nucleotides) under Xyrichtys novacula (pearly razorfish). The record is from RNAcentral. Lineage: Eukaryota; Metazoa; Chordata; Actinopteri; Labriformes; Labridae.
CUCCACACUUUGAGGCAGCAGCAGCUGAAUAUUUUACUGUUUUAUGUUCGAGAAAAGAGAAACUCUGGUUUAAUAAAUGUUUCUUAUUCUGAAUCUUUCAAACAUGAAAUGAUAAAGAAAAUAAAUGUUCUUUAUUUCCACAGAGAGACACAGAGAUGUGACUCUGUGGAGGAGCAGCUGUCCAGCUCUGAUGGAAGUAAGUCUGAACAUCUGUCCUCUAAAGUCUGUGUGGAUGAAAACUCAGCUGACUGAUUUUCACAAAGACGUUUUAGUGUUGAGAAGUUUGGUUCAUUUUAUUUUUCUUCUCUUUCAGAAGAUGGUGGUCUGCAGGAGGUUUUAGAUGAACAUAAGAUCAGUCUGAAGAGGAGAUGUGAACGUGUGAAUGAAGGAAGUGAUGAAACAGGAAGUAGUCAAACCCUCCUCAACAGGAUCUUCACUGAGCUCUACAUCACAGAGGGACUGAGUGAAGAGGUGAACACCCAACAUGAGGUGAGACAGCUGGAGACAGCUUCAAAGAUGAAGACCCUCCAUGACACGCCCAUCAGGUGUCAUGAGAUCUUUCAAACCUUACCUGACCAACAGAAGAAGCUCAUCAGAGUGGUUCUGACCAACGGUGUGGCUGGUGUUGGAAAAACCUUCUCAGUGCAGAAGUUCACUCUGGACUGGGCAGAGGGUUUGGAGAACCAAGACCUCCAUCUGGUGGUCCUGCUUUCAUUCAGGGAGCUGAACCUGAUCAGAGAUGAGCGCUUCAGUCUUCUGAAUCUGCUCCAUGUUUUCCAUCCAACACUAGAGAAGGUCACAGCAGAGACGCUGGCUGUCUGUAAACUUCUGUUCAUCUUUGACGGUCUGGAUGAAAGCAGACUGUCUCUGGAUUUCACAGACUCUGAGGUGGUGUCUGACGUCACACAGAAGUCUUCACUCAACGUUCUGUUAACAAACCUCAUCAAGGGGAACCUGCUCCCCUCAGCUCUCAUCUGGAUAACUUCUCGACCUGCAGCAGCCAAUCAGAUCCCUCCUUCAUGUGUGGACAGGGUGACAGAAGUACGAGGCUUCACUGACGCCCAGAAGGAUGAGUACUUCAGGAAGAGGUUCAGAGAUAAAGAUCUGUCCAGAAGAAUCAUCUCACACAUCAAGUCCUCCAGGAGCCUCCACAUCAUGUGUCAGAUCCCGGUCUUCUGCUGGAUCACUGCGACAGUUCUGGAGGACAUGAUGAUCAGAGAGCAGAGAGGAGAACUGCCCAAGACCCUGACUGACAUGUACUCACACUUCCUGCUGGUCCAGACUAAGAGGAAGAAGCAGAAGUAUGAAGGAGGACAUGAGACAAGUCCUCAGGAGCUGACGAAGGCUGACAGAGAAGUCCUCCUGAAGCUGGGGAGGCUGGCCUUUGAACAUCUGGAGAGAGGAAACAUCAUGUUCUACCAAGAAGACCUGGAGCGGUGUGGUCUGGAUGUCUCAGAGGCCUCGGUGUACUCAGGAGUUUGUACAGAGAUCUUCAGAAGAGAGAGUGUGAUCUUCCAGAAAACUGUUUACUGUUUCGUUCAUCUGAGCGUUCAGGAGUUUCUGUCUGCAGUCUACAUGAUCCACAGUUUCACAAACAGGAACACAGAAGCUCUGGAGACUUUCCUAAACACAGAAGAUCUGAAGACUUUCCUAAGAGACAACAAACACAAAGACGCAAUGUUUUCUUAUUUUUAUGAAAACCUUGGUUACAGUUUCUUAUCUCUGGAUGUCUUCCUGAAGAGAGUCAUGAUAAAAUCCCUUCUCAGUAAAAACGGUCACCUGGACCUGUUCGUUCGCUUCGUUCAUGGACUCUCUCUGAAGUCAAACCAGAGACUCUUAGGAGGUCUGCUGGGUCACACAGACAACAGUCCAGGAAUGAUCCAAACAGUCAUCAAGAACCUGAAGGAGAUGAACAGUAAAGAUAUCUCUCCUGACAGAAGCAUCAACAUCUUCCACUGUCUGAUGGAGAUGAACGAUCUGUCAGUUCAUCAGGAGAUCCAAGAUUUCCUGAAGUCAAAGAACAGAUCAGAGAAGGAACUCUUAGAGAUCCACUGCUCUGCUCUGGCCUACAUGCUGCAGAUGUCAGAGGAGGUUCUGGAUGAGUUGGACUUACAGAACUAUAACACAUCAGACCAGGGACGAUGGAGACUGAUCCCAGCUGUGAGGAACUGCAGAAAGGCUCGGUAAGUCCAGGUUUUAUUCUCAGAAUAGUGUAAAUGAUCCCUGUAGUUCUUCCAAUGUCCACGUUACUGAUGAUGAUGUUCUUCAAAUAGAAAUCCACUCAAAUAUCAGGGAGGGGGUUUCUUUAGCAAAAACAUGAUCCUGGUGUCAAAAGUCCUGUUAGCCCAGGAUGAGGUCUACCUGUGGACCCCUGAGAACUUGUCCUGAUUGUGGAGGACCUCUUUGUUUUGAAUCGUGUCUGUAAUGAAUAAAGUGGAACUUUCAGGACAAAUCAGCGACCAUAUCUGAGGACACACAGAGGUCUUCUGAUGAUGGUAUCAGUCCAGAUCAACAUCUCAGUCAGUUGUGGUGAACUUGAGUUUGAAGAAGGUGUCUGCAGCUUCUUCCUGCUGGUUUUCAGGUUGGAAAUGAUGAAUCUGUUGUAAAUGAGGGUGUUGACAGCAUUGAUGGUGAAAAUAGAACUGGAUCAUUUUCUACACAGUGGCAGAACUGUCUCUGUACCAUCAUGUUCAUCAUUCAAUAUUCAUCAUCAAUACAACCAUGAAAACUAACAUGGUGGAAAUAGGAUGUUAAUGUCUCUCUCUCUCUCUCUCUCUCUCUCUCUCUCUCUCUCUCUGCCCUCGGUGCCGCAGGUUGGCACUGACACUAGUCUGCCUCAUAACACCUCAUAGCAUGUGGAGACAGCCGUGCUCUUCCACUGUAUAUAUGGACACCAUGUCUCUAAGGAGAAGCAGUGUGACUGCAUCAUCAUCUUCAUCAUCAGUUUUCCAUGGUGUCCCUUUGUUGUCAUGGUGACACAGAGUGAAGAUGAUUCCUCUAAUGUUGAGGUGUUGGUGGGCUGUAGCGGUCACAUUUCUCCCACUCGGCUGCACGCCUCUGUUUAAGAUGUUGAUGUAAAUUGGUCAGACUGCUGUCUUCUGCUGAAACAGCCUUUAAACAAACACUGCAGCAGACUGGGGUUUGAUCCAGGUCUGAGUCUGAGAGACUGAACCAGGUCUAAAGGACUAUAACCAGCAUGGCUGUCAUUAGGUUGAAUUAAAGCAGGUACCCAUAUUGAUCCUCCAUGUUGAUAUAAUCAGAGCUCAUUAUUGAUACCUCACUUCAUGAUUUAGUGCAAACAUUUAAAAAAGUGAAGAAAACAGGUUCAAAGAUAAAUUUCCUGUGGCUCCAAAUUCUACUUUAUGUAUCAAACACAUUUAUUAGCAAUAAUCAAUCUGUUAAGUACAUUCAUGAGAACAUACCAGAAAGGUCAAAUAAACUCAGACCUAACUUAGACGGCAGCUCUAAGGAUUUUACUUAAAGACAGAAAGACAGAGAGAGAGAGAGAGAGAGAGAGAGAGAGAGAGAGAGAGAGAGAGAGAGAGAGAGAGAGAGAGCGAGAGAGAGAGACAGACAGACAGACAGAGAGAGAGAGAGAGAGAGAGAGAGACCAGAGCCCAAAGACAGAGGUUCAGUGGGUCUUUGUUUCUGUCUCUUAAAGGUCUCUCUGGAUUCAUCAGGCUUUAUAAACGUGUUUCUGCUGCUGAAGCAAAUGUUACAUGGAGAAAAAACUUUGAUUGUGAAAACAAAGAAAUCUUCAACUCUUCAAAUGUUCAGAGUCAAACCAGCUCUAACCUGCUAAAAAACGAUUUUAUCUGAACCAAUCAGAGAAAAAGGAGCUGCUGUGAUUUAGUGAGUCGUCCUCCGAUUGGUCAACAGUCAGUGUCUAUGGAAAGACUUACAUUACAGCAGGAUGUCAACAUUAAACACUGAGCGGAGCACUGAUUCUCCAAGAGGUACUUUGGAUACUAACCAAUCACAUACCAGGACCAAAAACCUGGUUCUCAGUCCCCUUCUCCAACCAGAACUCAAAAAUUCACUCAAUCAUAAUGAUCCAGCUGCACUAACAUGAAGACAACACUGUUAGAGAACAGAAGGACUAAAAUAAGUCAUGGAGUCAUUUGUCUUGAACAUCUGAACAGUUUUAUUUUCUUCUAAACUUUGACUUCCUGUCUUCUCUCAUGGCUGUGGUCCUGAUAUUAGUAUCUGUCUGGUUAAAAACAGGCCGUCUGUCAAACCAAAGAUCAUGUUUGUUUUUGGUCAAGAGAAACAUCAAAUUACCCUUUAAUGAAAUAUUGUUUGAUUUUUAUGUUGUUACAGAUUUGUUCUCUGUGGACUCUCAGAGACUCACUGUGAAGUUGUGACCUCAGCUCUGAAGUCCAACCCCUCCCAUCUGAGACAUCUGGACCUGAGUGACAACGAUCUGAAGGAUUCAGGAGUGAAGCUUCUCUCUGCAGGACUGGAGAGUCCAAACUGCAGACUGAAGACUCUGAAGUGAGACACCAUUUCCUUCUGAUCUAACAAUAAGAUGUGACAGCUGCUGCCUUAGAUUUUUCUCUAUGGUUUUUCCAUCAACUUUGGUCGAGCAGUUUGAAUUUGUCGUUGUAAAACUUCAACACAGGAAGAAAAAUCCGACAUUUCAGAGUUGACUUUGAGUAGAACGAUGGAUGUAGAAAGGAAGCAGGAGAAAAUCAGUCCCACAAAUAUUACACAUGCUUGUAGAGGGCAGGAGCAGCACAGACUAAAGGCUGAUAUUGAACUGAUCCACAAUUAAUGUGAGCACUAAUGAAUGAAUGAAGUGUCAGAGAAAUGAUGAGCUGCAGAUUGAAACCUGAAGAACAAAGUUAAUCCAACUCUGGAGAUUUCAUUUGGAAACUCUUGAAAACUUGAAUUUCUUCUUUGCUCAGUCGUGUUCAAAUGUAAAAACCAGAUCCAGAUUUUUCUGCAGUUUUCACUUCAGUUUGUUGAACAUGAACAUCAUCUUGUCCAGCUGGUCCAUAAAAACCUCUCUGAUCAAUGAUCUGUUGGUUUAUUUAAGAGUAGUUUGGCAGUUGUUGACAGCAGACGGACAGACCCCUGAAUAAACUCCUGACUGUUUGCAUCUUCAUGAAGAAUUCAGGACUACAAAAAAACCUUUGAGAUUUCUCACAUGAGUUUCUCAGGAUCUUUAUAAAGUUUUCUGGUUCUUUAAAUUUUCUUGACAAAAAUUCCUCGGGAUCUUCAAAAGUUUAGAGAGGAUUUUACAAAGUUCCUCAAGAUCAACUCAGAAAAAGUUCUUCUUCCAUGUCCUUCAGAAACUCAAGAACAUUGAAUCAUUAAAAGCAGGAACAGUUUCUUCGGACAUUCAAUGAUUUUUUUCUUUUUUCAGACUGUGGCGCUGCAGUUUGUCAAAGAUCAGCUGUUCUUCUCUGGCCUCAGCUCUGAAGUCCAACCCCUCCCAUCUGAUACAUCUGAGCCUGGGUUUCAACAAGCUGCAGGAUUCAGGAAUGAAGCUGCUGUGUGACUCUCUGCAGAGUCCAAACUGUAAACUGGAGACUCUGAAGUAAGUUUAGUCUUUGUCUGUUUCUGUUGUAGAUUUUUAUGUUUAUUCAGUUUUUUUUAACCCAAUUCAAAUGUUCAUAGAAUUCUUUAAUAUUUCCAGAACUUUCUUCUUUCUCACAUAAAUUCAUAGUUUUUUAUUGAAUCAUCAGUCAGAUACAGAUGGAGGAAAACUGUGAGUUAUUUUGUUGAUUGAAUGUUGAUGAUUUUUUAUAAAUGGUUCAGAUGAUCAUUGCAGUGAUGUUGACGGGUUUACUUCCUCGGUCUCUAAAUCAUUCAAAUGUUCAAGGAUGCAGUGAACUCACUAUCCAUGCAGCUCAGGAACACAGCUCAUCUUUUUCAUACAGGAAACAUUGUCAACAACAAAGGUGUCUUAAAGUCCCAUCAGUCAGCAGCUUCAGUCAGAAACCUUGCUGUCAGAGCUCCGUCAUUUCAACCCUCUGGAUAACUCCUCAGCACAGACCAGACCCUGUGAGAACAUCCUCACAACAUGCUGCUUUAGUUACAACAACAACAAUCAGCUGUUAGCAGAGAUUUCAUCCAAACAGUCCAGGAGACAAACUUUGAAGUGGUUGGAAAAUUCAGGUGUCCACCGCUCAUGCAGAGUUGACUCAUGUUGAUGAUGUUUUCAUGUCUAGAGGACAUGCUGGAGUGAAUUCAACCAAACCUCCUGAGGAAAAGACAGCGGUGGCAGCCAUUAGAUCAGGCUUCAUGACGUCUGUGCUUCCCUUUAUUAAACCAAAUCAGAGAGUUUCCCUCAUGUUUCCACACAAACUUUAAAUUGUUGAAACUGAAUUUUGUUAGUCAUGAUAAUGUGACAGCUGUUUUGUUUUUGAGAUUUGGAGUUUUAGUGUUUUAAUUACAGUGAAAUUUGAACACAUUUACUUAAUAUUCAUCUAUUUGUUGAGGAUUAAGUGGAUUAGGAGAUCUCAAAUAAGUGAUUAUUUGGAUCAUGAAUGUAUGAGACAGCAUCAGCCCUGUUUGGAGCUCUGGAGGUGUGCAUACCUAUGUGAGGCUGGUCCUUGGGGAGGAUGGAACAGGUUUCAAAGGUCUGGGCUACCAGCGGUUCAAGAGGUUGGGCUCAGCAGAGGACCGAAGGCAGAUGAAGGAUGGGCCUGGAGUCACAGCACACAGGCCUGAAUGCAAAAACCAGCACCUUAUGGUUCCUUUUGAUGCUCCUUUGGUCUCACCACAAAACUCUACCACAGAGGAUGACUUUGGGCCUGCUGUGUGGUGUUCAGAGGUAAAAACUAACUUGCAUUGCUAUGUGCUCAAUAAAAGUUGAAGUUUCAAAACUUGAACGAAGAUGAUGGAAACAUGGAGUAGAGAGUGAGGGAGGACUUACAGCAAAGGAUCAUGGGAGUCCAACCAGCAACUGCUGCAACAAGGACUCCACCUUCUGAACACCUGAACCUCUAAUCCAAACCAGUGCUCCAUCACAUUUGAUGUCUUGUCUGUUAUUUUACAUGGAGGGUCAGAGCAGACCAGAUCAUGAGCUCUGACAGACUGGAUCUGGUCCAAAGGUCUGCUGUUGGAGUUCUCUAAGCUCCAUAUUUUAAACCUGAACACCUGAAGUUUGAUUAUUAAUGAUUUUUAUUUACAUUCUCUUGUCUUUAUUUAGGUUGGAUAACUGCAGUUUGUCAGAGAUCAGCUGUUGUUCUCUGGCCUCAGCUCUGAAGUCCAACCCCUCCCAUCUGAGACAUCUGGACCUGGGUUACAACGAUCUGCAGGAUUCAGGAGUGAAGCUGCUGGGUGACUUUCUGCAGAGUCCAAACUGUAAACUGGAGACUCUGAGGUCAGACUUUUUUCCUCCAUUCAAACAUGAUCAUGAUUUGUUUGUGAUGAUGACACUAAACUGCUGACUCAGGACUGAAAUACUGACCCAGACUGAACACCUUCAGUCCAGAGUAGAUUUUCUGCAUCAGUGGAUUAUUUGAUUGACUCCAGUUAGAUCACUGCUGAGCUCCAGUGAAUUAAAACCUGAACCCAAGAAGAAAACUCUUUGUAGAGUUCACAGUGAGAAGCACAUUCAGACAGAAAACAGAAGCAGGGGGAGAUUUGUCAGACGAGAACCAUUCAAACUUUUGUUCAGGACAAGAUCAGGGAAUAGAAAAAACUCAGAGUUUAGUUUCUGACACUGAUGAAAGUCCAGCUCUGUUACUUUGAAUUUUGUUUUUGAAUCUUUGUAUGAAAAUCUGAAUUUUCUGGUUUAUCUGCACUUUUCUGAAGCCUUGCUGUGUUUAGACUGAAAUAUUUACCUCUCAAAGACGUGAUAUUUUUGGUUCAGCAAAGUGAAAAUAUUCUGAACAUCCUUUAUUUCCCAUCAGUCCUGAAGUCACUGACAUUUUCUGAAAAUAUUGAUCUGCAUCUACAAUCAGUAAAAAAGUCUCUGAGUUUUUUAUUUCAGUAUUUAAUGUGUUUUUGAAUUCACUGUUUCAAACUUACUUCCUGUUUGGUUCAGCUCUUUGGAGCGUCACUUUUCUUUGAUUCAAACUUUCCAAACCUUUCCCCUGAACUCGACAGAUUUAAGACAUCAGGUUUCAAACUGGAUCAUUUUUGUCUAAAAUCUCAUUAUUUCCUCUUUAUUUAGGUUGAGAUACUGCAGUUUGACAAAGAUCUGCUGUUCUUCUCUGGCCUCAGCUCUGAAGUCCAACCCCUCCCAUCUGAAAACUCUGUGGCUGUUAGGCAACGAUAUGCAGUUUUCAGACAUGGAGCUGCUGCGUGAUCUUCAGAAGAGUCCAGACUACAGACUGGAGGAUCUGUGGUCAGUAUAGUUGGUUUUAGUCUGUGCUGAUCUCUCCUGUUACACUCUACACAGUAAAAUGUUGAAUGUUUAUGACACUUAAAUCUAAUUUGCAUAAUAAUUUGUAACACAAUGUGUUUCCACAGUUCUUUAAACAGUGACACUAAAGAGGUACUUAACGUGUUUUUCAUUAUAACGGCCUGUCAACACUUGAUGUGUGUUUUUAGCACUGGUUGUACAGUCUUCUGCUGAUGCUACACCAUCAUCUCCUAUCAUCACAAUAAUAAGUUUAAAUGUAGAGACUGAAUGUCAAAGAGUGAAAGAGAGUUAGAAAAGACGUUUAUUUUGGUGCAUGUGAGAAAGAAAUGAUUCACAAACAUCUUGGUCCAGAGAAUGAGGCUGAUAUGGAGCACCUCAGGUUAGAUAUUCACAGAAUUAAACUGACCGACAUCCAUGAAACAGGUGAAGAUGAUAAUCAGUCCAGGGGUCUGAAUAUCCACAGCUUAAAGAACAAAAAUAAAGAUGACAAUGAAAUGCAAAGUACAAUGUAUCAAAUGUUUACUUCGUUUAUUCAUGAUUUUGUUUUCCUGUAAUUAUGUUGGCAGGUAGAGUGCUAAUUGAUCCGACAAAUCUCCAUUGCUGACUGACGAGUGAAUCUGCAGCACGGUGAUGAAAUGACUCAAACACAGAGAAAAGUUCUGGCAGCUUCCGUUCAAACAUUUCAGCAUCAGUCCGAUCAAAAUGUCCUCAGACAGCUGUGAUGUCAUCGCACAAACAAGCCAAUCAGCUGUCCUCAUUUCCCAGCAACCACAGACAGCUGGUCUCUGAUGCGUCCCCGUCUGUUCAGUAUGGAGUCCAGAGACUAUCAGCUCAACUCCACCGUAACCCUGAAACACAAACAAGAUUAUAACCUGUGAUGCCAUUACAGUGGACUGUGUUCUGCCUGUUUUUGCUCUCCAUACUGACUGACUAUCCUGCCAACACCAAUGGCAGCCAUCCGUCCCAGACAGCUCCUAUUGGUCAAUCUCCUGGUCCACCUCUCCAUCCAAUCAUCUCGCUGUAUUCGACACACCCCUCUCCCGUAGUUCCGACUCGUCCCCUCCCACUCUCCCGGCCCUCCUCAGAGCUCUGAGCGGCUAAAAGUAGCGUAGCAACUUAGCUACAGGAGCUGUGAUGGAGAAGGACGCAAAAAAGAAAAAAAAAACACUUCUGCUCGCCCCACCACCAAAAGUGGGAAGAAAACGCCGACAGACGAAAGGGCGGAGUCAAAGAGGAAAUGUGACCAAGCGAGGAAUCUAACUGGAAUAAACACCGGGUCAUCCUUGGAGCGGUGGAGAAAGCUCCGCCAGGAUUUAGUCCUUAAAACAGACACAGAGACAGCAGAGUUUUUGUUGAACAGGUCAUUUUUAUCGCCUUUCAUCGUGGCUCAUGUUACAUAAAUAACUCUGAUUAGUCUCUGACAUGUCAACAUGGUAGCUGUCCAGGCAGCUGCAGACGGCGCUCGCUAGCAGAGCUGGUGUUUACUGCCGCUAGUCACUGACAAUCCGACAUGGUGAAUCCUAUUUGAAGCUAGCGCAGGACCAUACAAUAAUUUAUACAUAAAUUGUCAAAUAUUUGGAAAACCAUUCCAGUUGUUUAGCCAACUUUUUGGAAGGAGGGGGGCUUCUUCAUUUAACAUUUUGAAUGGGACUUUUUUUUUUCAUGUUUUUGUUGUUCAUUAAAAUAAUUGAUUGUUCCUACAAGAAUUAAAACUAAAGUUCUUCUCAAAUAAAUCUGUUAAAAUGUCAUUUUUUUAUUGUAUUAUUUUGUAUGUAUGUCUGCUGAUGACAAAAUAAAAAUAUUUACAUUUAUGUUUGGAUAUGAAACAGUUUGUUUAAAUUACCCACAAUUUCCAAUUAAAGGUGGGGUAGGCAGGAUCUGAGCAAGUUCCAGUUCUUGAGAGAAAUCUUGAAUGAAAAUCCCCGCCCACAAACAGACGCUCCUGCUCGCUCGUAUCGUUCCAAUUUAAUUCAGAUAUAAUGCAGAUAAAUACUUCAGAUCAUUACAAAUGGGGCCCAGUCAAGGUGAAAGUCAAAAGCAUUGGUGCUACUGUAGAUGCCAACAGACUACCAGCAAACACAAUGUUUGCAGGACUUCUACAACGAGGAUAAAGUGACAUAGUCCAGGACCCGAGGGAGGACAGUUUAGCGAUGGCGCUACAACACGCUACAGCAGGUCCGUUUGACAAGAAACACUUCUGUUACAGACACUUGUCUUACUUUGUUAAAGCGGUUUACCUGUCCAGCAGAAAGGUUACAGGGUCACCAAGAUCCCCAAGCGUCCCCCAUCGUUUAUGUUGACCCGGCUUUUUAGCUCUUGUCCAGUCUACCACCGUUAUAAGCGCCCGUUAUUCCUCCAGAGUCUCCGGUAUUUACUUUGUUUUCUUGCUUGUGUCGGCAGUCGUGGCCAAAGGAGGAUUCAGACAAUUUUCCGAACUCUCUGGUUGGUUUCUACUGUCCGAUAUUGUAGCACACUAUCUUUGUUUAGGCUUGUUAACGUUAUUGGAGGACGUGGAGCGUGCCUCACAACACGUGGGAGAAGCGUCCACCUCACGACCAAUCAGGUUGGGGAGACAGCGAAUGGCUUUGUUUACAGUCAGAAAGAGUAGCCCGAUCAAAAAUUUUUAAAUUUUGAUUACACAGACAUAAGAGAACACAGCGAUAUUGUUAUAUUCUAAAAUGUCAUCAAUAACUAAUAACUAUUGGCUGAUAUUAAAAGCCUUUUUUUUAUAAACUACAAAAAAGAUUCUUCUUUAACAGAAUCCUGCCUACCCCACCUUUAAUUCCCAUGAAAAGUUUCCAAUUUCCAAAAUUCUUCAGCUUAACUUCCCAUGGAAAGUUUCUGGAAAUUUUUCCGCCCCUUUGCAACCCUAAUUCUAACACACACAGAGACACCAACACAACAAAACAAAGAUAAAACUCUGUAUCUAAGUCAGACUUACUUUGGUUACUGAAAGAUUCUGUUCUCCAUGUAGCACUGAAAAAAAAACAGCAGAUACAAACAUUAAAUUUCAUGACAACCUUAAGCGACAUCAUAUUCAGUUGACAAAUGAGAAGAGGACUGUUUGGAUGCUGAUAGAUUUAUGAUGUUACAAUAAACAAAAGCAAAAUAUUGCUGCUUCAUAUCACAUGAACCUCCUGUGAGUUUAUUUAUCACGGGUUAGGACUUUGAGUCAUGUUACCUUCAAGUCAGCACACAUUUCUGUCAGUUAAAUCCAUGGCUAACAAAUGGUUUAUGAUCAGACAAAAAAGCUGGCUUGCUAGCUAGACUUCUAAUCUUUCUGCAAUGUUUUUCCGCAAGGCAAAUAUGCAAAUUAGCCACGUGCAGCAUAUUGCAGCAGACAUUGAUGUUCCUAAAUGAUUAUGCUGCUGAUCACUUGUGCUUAUGUAAAAUAAUGCUUCUUGAGACACCAAACAUUAUCUAGCACGACUUCUACAGGAAAAAAUAACAUUGGUUCAAAAGAGUUUUACCAUCAUGCUUACCUUGAUGUUCAAAGCUGCCAGAAAAAUAGUCAGAGGGAGGAGUAAGCAGCGUAGAAAAGAUCUUGCGCAGUCUUCACUUACUGCUUUUAUUGGCAGGAGGCACAACACGGUGAUGAACAGCAGCAUUAACAGCGCCGUUUAACCAACAGAGACGUGCGCGUCAGCCAAACCAGCUUGACAUGUUGCCACAAAGUGAAUUAGAGUGAUGACAACUGAGCUUGUGUAACAGAUUUAGCGAAUUUCACCGCUGGACAUAUCAUCCAAAAUUAGAAUCAUCAUCUUAAAAUUUAAACUUUUUUUUUUCAUUUUCAGUAAAUCAAUAAGCACUGAAAAUUGUGCCUAAUAAUAACAAUAUCAACAUGCAGAAAUAUAACAGCCUUUACACAGCUGUGAUUAGAAUAAUGUUCCAAUGUAACAAAAACAGAAGAAACACUGAACCUGGCUUCAUAAAGAUAUAAAGCAUAGAGUUUUUUCGGCCAAAGUCCAUUUCCAAUCUGCUUUUAUUUUUUCACUCUUCUUGUUCUCACAUGUUAAAUAUGAAACUGCCAGAAAUCUUUUAAAAAUUUCACCAAGACAAGACGUUUUGAGAGUUUUUCACUGUCUUGUUGUGUCUUAUAAAGUUUUCACCUUCUAUGUUGAUAGAGCCUGUAUUUGUUUGCCAACAUUUUUCAUUCUGUAAUUUAUGUACAGGAGUAUGAAGGAGCAGGACAAAGUGAUUUGAUUUAUAAGAUUCUUGACUUUAUAUCAAGUCUUUGCAGGUGUAAAGCUUUAAUGCAUAUUUUUGUUCUGUUUAAAAUAAAAAAAAUCACCAUUAAACUCAAACCCUGAUUUCAAAAAUAAAACAUUGAUAUAAAACUGAAUUUGAUGUUUUUCAAAUGAUCUAAACUUAGUAUUCUGAUAAUAAUGGUGCAAAGACAACAUAAGAAUGAAAAACCUUUUGACUAAUGAGGUUAAUUUAGAAGUUAGUGAGGUGACUGGGUAUAAAAAGGACAUUCAGAGAGGCUAAAGAUUAGCAGAGGUUUAUCACUCUGUGGGAGACUGUGUGAGCUAACAAUGUGACAAUUUAAAGAUAAUUCUCAGGAGUGUAAACUCACUAAGGACUGGUGUAUUUUAUCAGGUACAGUACAUUAUAUCAUUUACAUCGUCAGACUGUUAUUUUUACGCCUUCAAGUGGAAAAACAGACAAGACUCUGUAGUGGAAUGAUGUGUGAGUUUUAUGUGCACCUGCUGGACAUCCCUCCAUGAUAUUUGAUAUUUCAACUACUGAGUAAGUGACAUAAUGUCAAUUGUUUCCUUUUCCAUUUAUGCUAGUGUGUGUGUGUGUGUGUGUGUGUGUGUGUGUGUGUGUGUGUGUGUGUGUGUGUGUGUGUGUUCUUUAAGUCAUUAGCCAUGUUAAGCUAGAUAGUGGGGAUUUGUCAUGUUAUGUUUAUUCAUGUGAACAUUUCCAGUGUCAUAGUUAAUUGGGUGAAAUUUCAGUGUUGUGCCUUACAAGUACACUUUCUCUCCGUCAGCUCGUUGCCGGCUAACCUCGCAAGACAGUCGCGUACAGGUGAGUCAAGACACAGUAACAUCAAGCCAACAGGGCGGGAACUCCAGGCUACCAUCUCCCACUCCGCUCGCAAGCCUAACUAUUGAUGCAAGAACAGCCAGCCUAACACCUAACCCUAGUUGAAGUGUUUGCCACACUUCGUUAUCUACUCCACUUACCGCUGUCUUGCUUUCUCCUUUCUAUUCUCUUUCUUUUCUCACUACCUGAUAAGUAGGGGAUGUAAUAAGAUAGAACAUGGAGAGACUCAACCAGCUGAAAGAACAACAUGAAGACUUUUACUGUGUUUUUAUGUGUGCUUUGGCUCAGUGCACUUCACAGUAACAGAACUAAAUAUUGGCCACAUAUUUUUUGGUGUUUUUGUGCAACUUCUAUAAACUAUCAGCUGUAUCUCACAGCACCAUCCAUGGUGUGAGUGUCUGUGUGUUUUACCUGGGCAGCCUGAGCCGCAGGGAUGCUGAGUGUAGCUGCUGUGGUCUCGGUCAGCCGUCGACUCCGACCUCUGUGGCUCUGAACACAAACGUCUCUCACUGCAUCUUUAGACGGAGCCUGAGCAAACAAAAACACCCAUGAGUAACAACAACGGUGUCAUUGUUGAGAGUCUGGAGAGAGACCGGAAAGGCCCAGAAUCCAAGGAGCUGAAGUCCAGCAUUUAGAGACCUUCAGGCUUCAUUUGCUGAGAGUCUUUAUGGAGAUCCAGGUUUACUUUCAGCAGGACCUGGUACCUGCCCACAGCACCACAGCUACCAGAAACUUGUGUAAUAACCUUCUCAUUAUUGUAAUCCUUGUAAUUCCUUCUUUUACGAAGAAGAUGAAGUUUUUUUUACACUAUCCUGUUUUCAUGAUGCACCUGUUUACAUGGUAUCUUCAUGUCUGUUGACAUGAUUUGAUAAGUUGUGAUCUGACUGUGUCUGUUAUCAACUAUUUUUCAAACCCUAGUAAUUCAAUGUAAAAGACUGAGAGAGAGAGAGAUACUAAAGGGUCCUGGACUUUCUAAGCUGACUUAUAUGAGGGCUGAGAUCUAAAGGAAAGUGUUAAAACUGUGUCAUAGUAAAUGAAUUACAAUUUAAGAAAAAAAGAAAGUAAAAUAUUGCUGCUUCAUAUCACAUGAACCUGCUGUGAGUUUAUCUAUCACGGGUUAGGACUUUGAGUCGUGUGUGCAGAGGAGCAUAGGGGUCAAAGGUUAAAAAUAAAUCACUCACUGAGGAGUAAUCUUUAUUUAACGAUGGUGUAGCAGGUCCCGCCUAAGUGACCCCACUGUUAGACAUUUGGAUCAUCCAAUAGUUGGAGUACCUGGAAAUAUAAGAAAUAUUGCACAGGGAUCAAGAAAACAGGACAGCUGUUCUUCAUUCUCCAUUUAACCAGAUAAUCGAUUUAUUUACAAUUUAACUGCAAACAUGACUUAUUCUCUGCUAUUUUGUCUGCUUUACAUUAAAGCACAGGUUACAUCCACAUCUGGAUAAAAUCAAAUGUCUGUUUUCACAUUAAUGUCUCUUUUUCUUUACAUCUUUUCCAAAAUUAAACAAUUCAACUUUACUAUCUAAAUUUCACUUCACCUGUUCUGUCUUUUCCCAUGAAUGUGCUCUUCCUUUACACACACCACCUCUUUCUCUCAUUAAAAAAUAUCUUUAUCAUAGCUGUAUAUUUUAUAAGUGUUCACUUUUAAUAUCAAUCUUACAGUUAAACAGUACCAUCUUUACACUAAACACAAACUGAAUUGUUAAACAUGGUUACCUCGUACUAUAACCGCUGAACUAGAACCGUGUCAUUGUCUCAUCUUAACGUGCGCACCACUGAAACAGGACUGCAGCCGUAGCUGAUCUCAAACUACAUAUUUACAUUAGCUUACUCUGUUUAAAACAAUGUCCAUACACACAACCGCUUUUAACACACAGAAAUAACUCACAAAUGCCCGGGAGCCGAAAGAAACAUACGAAAAAGAAAUCAACGAGCUGCGGCGUCGGCGCCAUUUUCUCUGCUACAACAGUCACGUACCGUCAAACUUCAAUGUUAACAAUCGUAACACACUAUUAGCUCACCGAUAACACAUCACCGGGGAUUCAUUUCAGCUUAUAAACAUUUGUGACCAUAUAAAAUACAAAUAACUGACCUGGAAAUAUUAGAAAUAUGACACAGGAAUCAAGAAAACAGGACAGUUGUUCUUCAUUCUCCAUUCAACCGGAUAACGAGCUCAGCUCCCGUUGCGUUCUUGUAAGUCCCAGUGAUGAUAGUGGUCGGUGCUGCCACCAAGUGUCCAUUUUGUGAAACCACAUGCCAUUGUGUGUUUCUCUGUAAUUUCUUCUUAUGACACUUAAAUCAUUCAUAUGUGAACAUGCUAACAGUAACAUGACAUUUACUGUAGGUUCCACUGAGGCUUGUUUGCAAGAAAACUUGAAAUAAACGUGAAUAAAAACUGUGAUCUGAAUCUCCUCUGUGAAGUCUUUCAUCUGCCCCCCUGAGCCUGAUAUAAACUCCUGAUUCAUUUUCUAAUUAACGUUUUUAAAGACUCUCCAUUAGCAGCUUUAGUGCAAAGAAACCGUUUCUGCAAAUUCAGAGACUCAACUGUGAUGUUCCAGGAUCGAUCCUCAGCCUGAAAUCACAAGAACCUGUAAAACUGGAGUAAAACCUGAAAUAAUGCACGAGUGUCUCUGAAAAUAAUAUUACCAUGAGCAGCCUGCCACCGUCCACAGACAGAUGGGUUUAAUCCUGCUCUGCACAUUAUUAGCAGCUCUGCCUGCAGCCUAAUGAGCAAGAAGACAAACAAGAAAGUGGAGCAUCUGCAAGUUUGAGUUUGUUAAAACUCCUUCUUAAUGACCGAAAUGAUUUUAGAAAAGGCUGAUAAAGCAAAGAUAAGAUAAUCCAAACCUGCAGGACUCUCUCAUGUUUGUUUACAGACCGAAACAGGAGCUGAAACUGAGAACAGGGAGCCACCUGGUGGAGAAACACCAAACUGCAGCUUUUCUAUCUGCAGCAGACAUUUACAAAAAAAAAAAAAAACAUAUUUUUUCUCAGUGUAGCGACUGUUUUCCUUCAACAAAAAAAGGCCGAUGGGGUUUAGGUUCACUUGCAUCUGUGACUCUUAUAGUUAUCAGUCCAGUUUGAGAGUUAAAAAGUGAUUUAUUGUUUAAAAAAAGAAAAGAAAAGAAAAAGAAAAGAAAAGAAAACACGCUGAUCCAGGUCCAAAACUUUCGCCUUCAAAUGAAAAAGUGAUAAGAUGAAAUGAGGUUAAAACAGGAUGAAACGGUGAAAAACAGUCAACAGAAACGUAUCAGAUCUUACCACAAAUUAUUGUCUGACUACACCUGUGAGAUUGAAAAAACCCGUCAAAACAUCCCAAAACUACACCCCGGAAGUGACGUACCUAAAGAAAAUCGUACUUUCGACAAAUAUAUUUUGGCUCCUACGCUCAUAUUUUCCUAAAUACCCGAUGCCAAUGACAGUCUGUAUAAUGUUCAAGUCAUUAACUCUUCGAUCAUAAUAUAAAUUAAAUCAAUUUUUUUUCAAUAAUUAAAAGAAAAACUCAAUAUGCACUGCUCUAAAUUAUACAGAGCUGAGUUUUUGGAGAGUUCCUGCUUGACUUCUUUUGCAUGAUGUCUCCCAGAGCUGCUGUUUGGAUGUGAAGGGCCUCGAGGACGCUCCAAAGGUUCUCAGUAGGGUUGAGGUCAGGUGAGGAUGGGGGUCACACCGUGAGUCUUUCUCCUUUUAAUGACACAGAGGUAUUCUCUGAUGAAUAAGAUUGUACAUGAAGAUUAGUCUGCUAAAGAAGGCUCAGUUCUUGUUUUUGUACCAUGGAAGAAAGUGGUCAGUCAGAAACUCAUUAAACUAAACUGAGGUCAUUUUUACACCGUCAGGAAUCCUAAAGGGCCAACAAGCUCUCUCCUCUUGAUUCUGGUCCUAAAACACGUCCUCAACACCUCCUUGUUGAUGUUGGGAUGUGGUGAGACGGAGGUGAAGGUAGAGGAGUAAGUGCGCAUGAAUAUAAACACAUCAUUUCCUGUAAAUAUCAAGGGGAGGAGACACCUGACAAUAACACAAAACUAUUCAAAGCUCAGACUUCAGAGUGAGUCAGCACAGAGAGAAACAAGGACACUUGUAACAGGGUGAGUGUUAAUUCAGUCUUACUGUUUGGUUUUCAGAGUCUGUCGUUCAUCAGAAGUGUUUUUUGCGUAUUAAUACACUUAAAAUUGAUAUGUAGAGAAAAUUGAUCAGAUACGUUGUUGGAUUGAUUCCUCGUCCAGUAAACUGUGAGUGUGCUGUUCUUCCUCUUGUUUUCCCCGUAGGUGAGAUGAGAUCAAAAUCACUCUUCAUAUUUUUGUGAACUUUAACAGACUUCACCGAUUAUCUUUACACCGUGACUCAGACAAGGAAUCCAAACUAAUGCUGUGGAAACUGAUCAAACAGGUUUCAAACUCUGACACACCCUCAAACUUUCUGUCAGGAUUCACUUCUCUGAGCUCACAGCCAUCAUUACUGCUUUUUCAGACUCAGAGUUUAGGAGAGCACAGGUCUGGAUGUUUGGUAAUUAUGACAGAACGAUGACAUGUACAGCAGACUCGGCCUAACACUGACGCAUCUGUAGAGGGUGUAAACAAUACGCUACAUGUAGCUUAGCUGCCCGCAAGACUAUAAUGUCGUCCUUUUUUUUUUUUUUCCAAACCUUUAUUCCAGUUCUUCAGCAAUGACAAGUACAUACUAUUUAACAGGUGGUAGCUACAUUCAUUUGAGAGGAAUCAAAACUUUGCAAAAAGAAAAGAAAAAACACAAUAUCUAGUCCGGCAUCCAAAGAUAAGUUAUAAUAUAAAUGAUGACAUGGGGAUCAUACAUUUAUGACAUAUCAUAGAGAGGACCUCAAGGCUUCAUAGAAAGUCAUAGUUCGAAUUGCUUUUUUAUUCCUUAGUCCAGUUAGUGUUUUAAAAUAUAUCUUCAUUUCAUUUUUAAACUGGUUGAUAUUUGGUUUCUUUUUAGACCAUUUACAUUUUUGUAUAUAAAAUCUUUAAUACAAAGUUAAAAGGUUUAAUAAAAAAAUAUUACUUCAGUCCAUGUUCGUUUUUGUUUUUUUUUUUCAAAAUAAAAAAUACCUCACGUUUGCAGGUUUAUCUUACAUCCAGACAACGAUUCAAAUAAAAUUUCAACCUCAAUCCAGAAAAAUUUAACAUGCAUACAGUCAAAAAUAAAUGUACAAUUGUUUCUUUUUCAAGGUUACAAAUACACAAGAGUCCGGUAUAUCAGUUCUAUAUUUUUUUGAGAAAGUGGUUAGUUAGGUAGAUAAAGUGAAUCAUUUUGAAAUAAAAAACCUUGGUCACUUGAUUGUUGAUCAGAUAUUUUUGUCGUAAAUCCAUACCCUUUUUCCAAAUAAUUCCAUCAAAAAUACCAUUCCAAAAAACUUCUGGCACAAGAGUUAGAAGAACACUACAAGAUAUUUCAAAACUGUUCAUUAUUACAUUUUUAUCUUUGAUAUUGACUAGUAAUAGUUUCAAGAAACAAGCUGGUAUUUCAUCAAAUACAAUACAACAUUCCCGUGCAGGUAUUAGAAUACUGAAGGUCUUUAAAAAUUAUGUGUAUGAAAAUAAUUAACCAUUCUCAUUGAGCAACUGUGGAACAAACAGAAUCUUGUUUCUAACCCAGUACUCAAAAAAUAUUGAUUUGUUUGUAUAUCUGAUGUAUGUAUUGUUCUAAAUUAAAUGGUUGUGGGGAGAGAAAUUAUGUUUGUAUAGAAUAAAUCAAGAUAAAAGCACUUGUCUAUGAAAGUUAGACAACUGAAUUGGGAGUUUAUUUAUGUCGAAAUUACAUUUUAGAAGGACCUCUAUACCACUGACUUUUUCAAAGAUAAUAUUGGGAAUAAAGUACAAUAAUUUAUCUUUAUUUUGGAUAUAAUGUUUGAUCCAGUUCACCUUGAAGACUAUGUUAGAUGAAUGAAAGUCCAGCAUAUUUAAACCUCCUUGACAUUCUGAAUUACAUAAAACGCCUGUUCAAUUUAUUUUCAAUUUUUGGGAUGAGGGGUUGGAAGUUUGACUGUAUUCUGUUUGCUUGAUUUUUACAAAUAUUUAUUCCUGAAUAAGUUCCUCUUUAACAGGGAUACCAUCAAUUUCUGCUGAAUGGAUAUUGCCAUCGUUAAGAGGAUAAUGUUUUUCAAAAGAAAGUAUGAAUCAAAUUAAAUCUGUGUAUCUUUGACCUUCACUUUCUGGAUAAACCAACAUGUUAUCUCUUAUUUUAGAAUAAAACUAUGCUUCUGUGGUGCACAUUAGUGUGUUUAUUAAGUGUUUAUUUUACACACAUUUGAGGUGUGAAGGAACUUAAGUUCAUGAGGAGAAUGGAGAGAGGAAUUAAUGAGCCAGGGUGGAUUGCACCCAGAUGACUUUCUGGAGGGGCCGCCCCCUCCUCAGAAAAAAUUCUGGAAGGAAAAUGAAUGGCUCGGGUUUCUAUCUUCUGAACUUUUCUACUGUGUUUUUUGGAAUUGAGGGGCGCUGAGCCGAAAAUCAAUUAUUACGAUAAAACUUACCUCUGAAACCCGCAACACUUUAAAAGAAGACAUGAAAUAACAAAUAUGCAAUAAUGAGUAACCUGUGAUGCAGACAUCAUCAUUUUAACCUUUUUUUUUUCCUUUAAGAAGUUAAACGUAUCACUGUUACUUUAUUACUGCUUUCCAUCAAAUUUUUAUUUCUCUACCAUCGAUGAUGGCUUUGGCCCCUACAAAGAAAGCUUUUUUCCCUUACUUACCUGCCUCUUCAAUUUGUGGCCACAGCUUGUUGCGCAUUUCCUUCUCUUUUGUACUUAAAUCUUCUCCGAAUUUCAUUUUCCUAAACUUGAGGAAGCUAGAGUUUUUGGUUGUAUCUUCACUGAAUAGAAGUGACUUGUUUGCCGUGUUACCUGGGUUUCUCUGUCUUUUUUCCACCAUUAUUUCCAAGCUGUUAACAACCGUUAAAGUUGUAUGAGUUGGUAUUUCAAUCUGACGGAAAAGUUGAAUAAAAAGUCAAAUCCAGUCCAAAAGGCGACAUGUUCAACCAGUAGCAACUGUUCCAAAUGAGCAAUGUCCAGUUUUAAGGUGAGACAAUCAUUUUUUUGGGGUUAGUGAAAUAGUUCUCCGUCCGCCUCAGCCGCCAUCUCGCACAGGAGUCCCUCAGCAGAGCAGGGAAGUUUGCACAGUACUAAAGCCUGUUGUCAACGUUUCUCAGAUACAGUAAUAACUCCUGUAACCUCUAACCAACAUUAUCACUUAAUACGGUCACAACAAAAAAACUGAAGUUGACUAAACGUUUUUCAAACACUGUAAAGAUAUUCAUGCUGUUGUUUUAUCUUCUGUUCGACCAUAAAGCUGGUCCAAAGUUCAUUACUGUGAAAUAUCAGCCUGUCAGUUUAUAUUCAAGGUCCAAAGUCUUUGUAUGAACAGGAUUCAGUGCAGGACUGUAACAGAUCAGGACAAUAAAUGAAUCAUUUACAGAAAAAGACAAGAGUCAUUAGAGGUCAAACAAACCCCAAAGAGAUGAGGAACUAAAUACUACUGACUGAAUAAUACUUUUAAUAACUGCUGAAGGACUGAUCAUAAUGAACCAGAGUCUAUAUUUCUGAGAUUGGAGAAUAAAGAGACGAUAAAUUGGUGGGUAGAAAUGAGGGGAUGGAAACAUUUAAAAAAAAAGGGAUUAUAUGUUAGUUUGUUAAACAUGUUUUUGUUUGUGUGUUAUAUUACCACAAAUAGGGUUUAGUUAAUAUUACUGAUGGUUUUCUCUGGUGUUGUAUGAAGUCUGAAUUUCCUGAGUUUUAGGAUCAGAUCAAAAAAAUCACCUCAUUCUCAGAGUCCAGCCAAAAAAAACGUUAAAUCUAUGUUCCUCUGUGUUUGAACCAGAGACAUUCAGCUUUUACAGUAAAUGACUGUAAAGAGUCAAAUUAAAGUCCAAAACAGCUUUGUUUUCUGUAGUCGGUUAAAAAGAAGAAUCAGUCAAGAAUAAAACAAUCAAUGAACAUGAACAAUACUUGAUAAUACAGAAGAUUAUAAAGAAAUGUGAAUUUCAGACUCUUUGACUCGAUCAUAUUAGACUGGAUAAGAAAUAACCAAUCAGGACCUUUAGGAUUUAAAAUAAGAGGAAGUGUGCAGACAGAUCUUUGACAUAAUGAGAUGUAGAAACUUGAUCAUCUUCAUCUUCACACUCUCUUUCUGUUUGUGUCUCAUCUGUUUGUCUUCCUUGUCCUCAGGUUGUAUAACUCGGUUUCAUCUUCCAUAAAUUUGCUCAACAUCAGAUGGAGAAGAUGAGUGAUGGUGCAAAGAAAAAAAAGGGCAGAGCAAAGUCUGUCAUGUUCAGCUUUCUGACUAGGAAGAGUAACCGGUCAAAAGGUCAUCAACCGGAUUUCAGUAAAGAACCAGGACCCUCAGAGGAGGGCGGAGCAAAGUCUGUCAUGUCUGACUGUCUGUCUAUGAAGAGUGACCGGUCUAUAUUUCUUCCACUGAACUUCAGUAAAGAACCAGGACCCUCAGAUUCACAGUAAGAGAAACACUUUUUAACCUCCAAACUCUCAAACAGUCAUUUAUGAUGCUCUAAAUUCUGACCCCUCUGUUUUCUACCAUGGUGAGAAAAAUGAUCUUAAACGCUGAUUUUCCUGUUGAACCUCCAAACCUGGAGAAAGUAAAGAAAAAGUCACUGAGUUCAGAUUUACUUAUUAUUUCUAAUGUUGAUAAAAAUGAAGGUGGUAUAAAACAGCAUUAGAAAAGGAUCCUGACCUCUUGUAUUUUCUGAUUUGGUUCCUGUGUUUGGGACGUUUUGAGCCUGUAAGUCUUUGGACUGUGGUGUAUAGACCCCUGAAAACAGUCUGUGGGUCAGAAAAUACCAGAAGACCAAAGAAGAAAUAAAUCCUGAGAAAUAAAAACUCAUUCAAACAUCUGUCUGUUAUUAGACCUUUAGAUCUGAUUGGUUAAAGGGGACCUGGCAUCAAAAUGUAAUUUUGUGUGUUUUUUGUGUCAGAUUAGGUCCAUAUUAUGUUCGUCUUAUGUUGUAAAUGUGAAAAUAAACUUUUACGUCGUUUGAAUUCUGUAAAAGUUUAAAAUAAAGAAACGGGUAAACCAGGCCGAUUGAAAAAGCAGGUCCUUCUGACGUCACGCUGACUUUGCUCAUUAUUAUUCAUGAGCGCGUCCUCGGUGAGCCGCGCCCACUACUGAUCAGUACGAGGACAGUCCCCGUAUUGGAUGACCUGUCCCCGGCAAAAGCUGUCCCCGAAAAUGUCCCCGAUUUAAGCGUUUCAUGAAUGAGAGCAAAAAUGUUGCGUGUGGGCUCGAACAACGGUUAUUACAGCAGCCGAAUAGGUAGGAAGCACAGGUUAGCAGUCCUGAACAACAGUUCUUACGGGGUUAUUACAAGGGGCAUGCGCUGCUACUAAAUAGUACCGAGACUUUGUCUGUGAUCACACAGCCCCUGCAGCCCCCUGCUGCCGCUGCCGCCGCACCGAAUGUCCCCGUAUAUCAUUACAGACAUCUGGGCACCUUACUUUAGCACACAUUAGCAUAUGCUAUUAGCAUUAGCAUAAUAACAAUGGAUAAACCGAAAUCCGAACCUCCACUGCUGAGCCAAUCAGAGCACAGCAGGCUUCACAGCAGCGAUCCAAUCAGAGCAAAGCUCAUUACCAUAAAUGUUAAUGAGCCAAAACCAGUUGGUUUUCCUGUAAGGUUUUUAAGGAAUACUAAAACAAACCAUCAAAUAACUUUUCAGCUAAAAUUAUGUUGCAAACAUGAUCAGAGGACAUCAAGGAUUAUGAAAAAAUGAUAAAAAUGGGAAUGAAAUGUUGAUGGCAGGUCCCCUUUAAAAAAGUUUUAAACUGUCAGAGAAAAUCUCUCGACCUUCAAAAAUCACAGUUGAGUUUUUUCUCCUGUCUCCACACUUUGAGGCAGCAGCAGCUGAAUAUUUUACUGUUUUAUGUUAGAGAAAAGAGAAACUCUGGUUUAAUAAAUGCUUCUUCCUCUGAAUCUUUCAAACAUGAAAUGAUAAAGAAAAUAAAUGUUCUUUAUUUCCACAGAGAGACACAGAGAUUUGACUUUGUGAAGAAGCUUUUCAGACAUUUCCGCUCUGAUGGAAGUAAGUCUGAACAUCUGUCCUCUAGAGUCUGUGUGGAUGAAAACUCAGCUGACUGAUUUUCACAAAGACGUUUCAGUGUUGAGAAGUUUGGUUCAUUUUAUUUUUCUCCUCUUUCAGAAGGUGGUGGUCUGCAGGAGGUUUUAGAUGAACAUAAGAUCAGUCUGAAGAGGAGAUGUGAACGUGUGAAUGAAGGAAGUGAUGAAACAGGAAGUAGUCAAACCCUCCUCAACAGGAUCUUCACUGAGCUCUACAUCACAGAGGGACUGAGUGAAGAGGUGAACACCCAACAUGAGGUGAGACAGCUGGAGACAGCUUCAAAGAUGAAGACCCUCCAUGACACGUCCAUCAGGUGUCAUGAGAUCUUUAAAACCUUACCUGACCAACAGGAGAAGCUCAUCAGAGUGGUUCUGACCAACGGCGUGGCUGGUGUUGGAAAAACCUUCUCAGUGCAGAAGUUCACUCUGGACUGGGCAGAGGGUUUGGAGAACCAAGACCUCCAUCUGGUGGUCCUGCUUUCAUUCAGGGAGUUGAACCUGAUCAGAGAUGAGCGCUUCAGUCUUCUGAGUCUGCUCCAUGUUUUCCAUCCAACACUGAAGAAGGUCACAGCAGAGACGCUGGCUGUCUGUAAACUUCUGUUCAUCUUUGACGGUCUGGAUGAAAGCAGACUGUCUCUGGAUUUCACAGACUCUGAGGUCCUGUCUGACGUCACACAGAAGUCUUCACUGAACGUUCUGUUAACAAACCUCAUCAAGGGGAACCUGCUCCCCUCAGCUCUCAUCUGGAUAACUUCUCGACCUGCAGCAGCCAAUCAGAUCCCUCCUUCAUGUGUGGACAGGGUAACAGAAGUACGAGGCUUCACUGACGCCCAGAAGGACGAGUACUUCAGAAAGAGGUUCAGAGAUAAAGAUCUGUCCAGAAGAAUCAUCUCACACAUCAAGUCCUCCAGGAGCCUCCACAUCAUGUGUCAGAUCCCGGUCUUCUGCUGGAUCACUGCGACAGUUCUGGAGGACAUGAUGAGCAGAAAGAAGAGAGGAGAGCUGCCCAAGACCCUGACUGACAUGUACUCACACUUCCUGCUGGUCCAGACUAAGAGGAAGAAGCGGAAGUAUGGAGGAGGACAUGAGACAAGUCCUCAGGAGCUGACUGAGGCUGACAGUGAAGUUCUCCUGAAGCUGGGGAGGCUGGCCUUUGAACAUCUGGAGAGAGGAAACAUCAUGUUCUACCAAGAGGACCUGGAGCGGUGUGGUCUGGAUGUCUCAGAGGCCUCGGUGUACUCAGGAGUUUGUACAGAGAUCUUCAGAAGAGAGAGUGUGAUCUUCCAGAAAACUGUUUACUGUUUCGUUCAUCUGAGCGUUCAGGAGUUUCUGUCUGCAGUCUACAUGAUCCACAGUUUCACAAAGAAGAGGAACACAGAAGCUCUGGAGACUUUCCUAAGAGGUAACAAAGACAAAAUGUUUUCUUCAGAGAUGUUUUCCAG